This 713-nucleotide ribosomal RNA is filed under the name Absidia gemella. RNAcentral describes it as "Absidia sp. HZ-2021f partial large subunit ribosomal RNA". It matches the Rfam family "Eukaryotic large subunit ribosomal RNA", at positions 38 to 649 of the family's 3401-position model. Lineage: Eukaryota; Fungi; Mucoromycota; Mucoromycetes; Mucorales; Cunninghamellaceae. The record is from RNAcentral.
GCAUAUCAAUAAGCGGAGGAAAAGAAAAUAACAAUGAUUCCCCUAGUAACGGCGAGUGAAGAGGGAAAAGCUCAAAGUUGGAAACUCCAAGCCCUAGGUUUGGCGUAUUGUAAACUAAAGCUCUCGAGUAGUUUGGCUAGCCUGGUAAAUAAGUUCUCUGGAAAGGGACGACAUGGAGGGUGAAAUCCCCGUCUUUGGCCAGAGCAUAGUCUGACGUUUGCUUGGAAGUGAAGAGUCAGGUUGUUUGGUAUUGCAGCCUAAAGCUGGAGGUAAAUCUCUCCUAAAGCUAAAUAUUGACGAAAGACCGAUAGCGAACAAGUACCGUGAGGGAAAGAUGAAAAGCACUUUGAAAAGAGGGUCAAAAAGUACGUGAAAUUGCUGAAAGGGAACCGUAUGAAAUCAGCUUGUCUCUUUGGUAAUCAACCUGAACCUCGGUUUGGGUGCACUUGCCAGUGAGUCAGCCUGCGACAAUUCGAUUUGGGGGAAAAAAUCAGAAGGAAUGUGGCCUGCACUUCGGUGUAGGUGUUAUAGCCUUUUGAAAAAUAUCCUGGGUUGGAUUGAGGACUGCAGCAAGCCAUUUGGGAAGAACUGUGGGCGCUUUGUUGUGGCUGGAAGAAAAUCUCUGCUUCGGGUGGUGUUUUUUCAGUCGCGGCCAACUCGCUUAUUUUUUCUUUUUCUUGCUUAGGUCGUAGGCAUAAUGAUUUUAUAUGACC